Triticum aestivum (bread wheat) is the source of this 5502-nucleotide long non-coding RNA. RefSeq lists it as uncharacterized. Lineage: Eukaryota; Viridiplantae; Streptophyta; Magnoliopsida; Poales; Poaceae. The record is from RefSeq and is a predicted model, not a curated record. The transcript has 10 exons.
UGCAUUACAAUUGACAUGGAUUGCACGGUGGAGAUGUAUGUGUUCCCCGAGGGGAUUUGGUGCAGGGUGGGGGAUCACCCAAUCCUCUAGAGGAUUAAAUCCACCAGAGGAUUAAACACUCCUGAACCGAACAAGGCCUCAUGGUGAGCGAUCUCCAGCCCCCUACCUCCCGCAUCUUCGCCGCCAGCCUCCUCCCACGCGCUCUAGGUAGCCUGCGUCCUACCAUCUUUGCGGCGCCGCCUGCGACUUCACCAUCAUGUAAAUCCCUGUAGAUGCGGGGAGCUGGAAAUGGAGGAUUGCCUCCGCCAGGCUGAGGGGUCGACCUGGAAGCCGCCUUGAAUGACCACAACGGAUCUGGCCAUCAGCGAGUAGGCCGAGCCUCCUGCUCCGGCCACGGCCAUCCCGACGUCGGAUCUGGUGCUCAUGCUAUGUUCUUCUCCUCGUGCAACCCCUCCCCCAUGUUUAUUUUGCCUCCGUCCUACCCCGCUCUGCAUCAACUAACUCGGCGCUGCAUGAUCCUGGGGCAACGAGGUUGAUCGGAUGGUGUUCGUCAUGUUAGGAAGAUGAGUGUGUAACUCAUGGAGUGCAAUCUGUUGCGUGUUAGGAAGUGGCCGUGACCUUGAUGGGUUGGGGCUCGCCUCCCACACUUCUCUUCCUCGUGUACAACAACCAUGGCGGCCCCUAGGAAUGCUUGAUCUAAAAAUCCCUUGAAUUCGUUGCCCAAGUUGAAUCCUAUGACCUGACUGUCUGUCAUGGUGCAGGUGUCGAAUUGUUGAUGGAGGCUUUAGGUCGUCCUUCUCAAGGAGCUGAGGCUGGCCAUUAAGGAUCUGGGGUGAAGGUCAUGUCAUCUCUUCUCGUGGAUCUAAUGCCCAAUGCUUCCACUGCUUAUAUUUUGAGCUCUUUGAUCUGAGCAAAAACCAUGGGAAGAAUUCACGGACAGGUACUGCUGAAUCAAUAGCAGCAUGCCAGAAACUGAAGGCAGACAGACCUCCAAGCAGCAUUUUGUGUCCUCCCAAAGGACAUGCAGCAGCUGCUGCUUUCCAAUCCUAAACGAGCCGUACUUCUUCAAGCGAGGCAAGAAAAGGUCUCAAGACUUGGGGACAUUGUCUCCCAGACAAGUUUGUAGCAGUUCACUUUUUCUUUGUACUAUUAAUAUUGCAAUUCUUUUAUCCACAGAGUAAAAAAUUCGUACGAUUUUUUAUACAUGGGUGCUGGCCUGCUGGAUUUGACUCACUUUUAUCCACAAAGUCUAAAAUUUACACGCAUUUUUUAUAUAUACAUGGCUGCUGGAUUUGACUCAAAUUACCUUUGUGUCUCACCCUGUAUGAUUCCACUAAAAAAAGUUUCAUUGAAGAAACAGUAACAUAACCAAAUGAUUUAUUGUCUUGGUUCUUUUUUUAUCUGCAGAAACUAUAUAGCUUAAGAAAUCAUAUUUUACAUUAUGUAACAGUCCUGAGCAUCCUCCAUUAAAAAUAAAUAGGCAAGAUUAUUCAGAUUGAGGAUCUUAAGGAGUGAUGUUAAUGGUUGGUCUUAUAGCUGGAUGCCCAUCAAAUUGUAAGUACAUAAGCAUUAGGUUCUUCUAUAAUUUGUACGACAAUGCAAUUUGGAUGUUACAUGUAAACAAUGUUACCCCUUACAGAUAAAAUUGUAGCAAACCAAGCCAGCAUAAUAUAUGCCCCUUUAAGAGGAUGGUGGAUGCCGGUAUAAUAUCUAUGUAGUGCAUUUUUGGAUUAUGUAGAAGCUUCCAAUUAUUUAGAAUGAGUAUGGAACACAAACCGAUGUGCUUGGUUUGUGCUUUGUGUUUCUAUCACGACCUGUUUUAGAAGGCGCCAAGAUGAAUGUUAAUUCAUUAGAGGAGAAUCAAUCAAGCGAUUUUAUUUGCGAAAUAAGUUUUUAAUAACCAUAUUUCCACUUCAUGGUGAUUUGAUAACCGAUUUAUGGUUUCUUCCACUUUAAUUGGGAAAGAUGCUGGGGUGCGAACUGUCCCGACAACGACACUUCUGCCUGCUGACUGCAUGAAGGACUGCCUGGCUCAACCUCUAUCUCAAUGUUAACUCAAUGCCCAACAAUGUCGUCAAUUGUGAGCAAGCAGUUACUUCAAAUUCCAUUGCCCAAAUGCCGUAUGUACGUACCCUGAGUACAAGAGACGAUGGAUGCAAAAGUCAGAAAAUUAGGAACCUGAAGGGAAAAUGGAAGGCGGCUUUGAUCGACAUUCAGCCCAGAGUACAAGGAUGAUCCCUACAUCUAUACUUUUGAUAUGCUGAAGCACAUUGGCAUUGAGCCAAGGCAGAUGUAGGGCAGUGGUGGCGGGUGCAUAUGUAGGGCAGCGGGAGCGGGUACAACCAUCUUAGGGAGAUCCUCUUCUCAUAUCAUGCCCAGUUGUUACUCCUCCAUUCGCUCGCCUCUCACCAUAUGUUCUACAAUAGCACGAUGGCGGCGGCACAGAUGUGUGCAGCGGUGAUGUUCUGCUCAAGGAGAGUCUCUGGCGGCUCGGCGGGGAUGCGCUGACCCUCUCUACGUCAGCAUUUUCUGGCGGCAUCUGCCCCAUCCAUCGAUGGUGUGGCGCCUUUGAUCCAGGAAAGGAGGUAGUGGCCUUCUUCAGUGGUGUGUUGGAUGUGACGUGCUGGGGCCCGUAGCUGCUUGGCGACGGCAUGCCCCGCUGGUGUCAGGCCCUCUCUCCUUCGAGCUGGUGCGAUUUUGUUCUUGCUGCAGCAUUCCAUGAGGACCUCGAUGUUUUCGGCUCCUCUCUCUAUUUUAGUCUACAGACUACAUCAAUUAAGGUUCAACUGUCUUAUGUCUCUACUUCGUAGAUUGUAUACAUGCACAAGCUAAAUAUAGGUUGCAAGAGGUUGGAUGAAGAUGCAACACAUUCAUGUAAAUGUUGCUCCUGCACUGUGUUUAUGCACACUUUUUAGGUGAUUGUUCAUUAUUUAGUCAACUUCCUUAUGUUUGUAAUUUGUGUGAUUGUGCACAUUUUUAGGUGAUUGUUUAUACCUUUUAAUUUGUGUAAAGUUCAUGUUUGUAAUGACUAAUGAGGUGGCACUCUUGAAAAGUGAGAAAUUAUGCAGUAUAUCCACUUUCUUCUGUCUAUUUUAAGUAUUAUUGUGGGUCUGCAGUAUGAAUCACUACACGCUGGAGAAGUUCCUGGAGGCGAUCAGGAGCAGAGGCAUCAAGAUAUGCCCUGGGUGCAAUGCCUCGCAGGCUGUAGCACCUGCCCAGGUAAGUUCGUACUGUACCUGGACUGCAAUUUGGUUUUAUCUCUCCUCUCCUCCAUUAUUUUCAUGUUCUCUAGAGGCUCCUAUAUUUGAAAAAUUAUUAGUAACCUAAAGUGCGCAUCUACAUGUACUGGGGUUAGGUAAACAACGUUCUAGAUGAGUUGUUUGAAUCAGAAAGGUCGAAGUCCAUCCGAUAAGAAGUAGACAUGAGAUGGGUGAGUGCCUGAGUAGUCAGAGGCUCAAUACGGCUUUAAGAUACUGUGGCCAUAUAAUAAGUACUUUUAAAUAAAUUCAAUUUGAUUAAAUGUAUUUCACAUCCAGGCCCUUGUGUUCAACUUUGUAUUUAUUGUUUACUUGCAUAACAUUAAUCAGAACGUAGGUUCUUGAUUUGCUAUAUGGCAUGUGUCUCGGAAACAGACAGGAAAUUGCCGAAUAGUUAUUGCAUGGAAUUAUAUUGUGGUUGUAAUCUUGAAUCGAGACAAAUAUUUUCCGAAGUUGGGAGAUUGAGGUGGAUGCUGCAACGCGAGUUUCAUAUCAUCGCGUAACACUGUCUCCUGAAACACCGCAUUCUUCCCGUGUGUGGUUGCGUCGGGGCUGUCGCCAUCCUCCCGUGCAUCGCAUGUGUAGGGGACAUGUUUUGUUAUACUCUGCGUCGAGGUUCUCCUCGUUGUUCUGAGGGUCGAGGCCACAUUAUUCAAACUUUCUGUUUUUCUUGGUUUUCAUCUAUGAUUCAACCUACUUGUUUCAGUUAUGCAUAUGUCGGCAAGACAAGUUUUGCCUGCUCUGCUUCAUAUCAGUCUCUUCUCAUCGCGGCCAGAGCUUGGAAGCAAUUCAACUAGGCACCAUGACGCUGGAUGGAAGUACAACUUCUUGUCGGAAGGUUCUUAUAUAUGGUCUCUAGAAACACUCGCAUGCAGACUCUCUGCCCUCGUUCGCCCGCCGCCGCCCUUCGUCCCUUCGCCACCGCCGCUCCAUGCCUUCGCCGCUGCCCUCGCCCAUCAAAGCCGCCGCCCUCCAUCGGACGAUCCACUUCAGGAGACGCCGCCGACCCCGUUCAGGACCAGCCGCCGAUCACGUCCAGGAUCCGACGCCGUUCCCCUUCAGAAGCCGCACGCCACCGCAGAUCCAUCCCCUGAAAAAUCGAGACUCUUGAGAUGGGCGAUCGAGAGGGGAUCAAAAGGAGUAACUUUCACCUGCGGCCGCAAAGGGCCUUUACACCGCCGCCGAGAGCCGUGCGCGGGUGGUGCGCUGUGAGCGGCCGAUGGCCGCCGCUUUAGUAGCCCGCCAAGAGCUGUCGUCGUGCAUUGGCUGUGUGCCGACUCGAACCAAGGAGUCGGCCAUGGUCGAGGGCCAAGGCGAGCGCGGCCGUGGGGACUGUCAAGCGAGCGAACGCGCGCGUGCCUGAGGGCGGCCGCUGCUUGCGCUGCAAUGGCGAGAGCGAAAGGAGGAAGAGGAGACCCCUGGUGGCGCGGACAUCCAACGACCCGGACAUCGUUCUCCCGUGACGUCCUCCUCCAAGCCCGAAUCCAGUGCCUCCUCAAGAAAUGGAGAAGCGCCAUGGUUGGCUGUUGCUUGAGGAAAUGAGGAGAUGCAUAUGUCUGCAAUGUUGCUGGAGCACGCCUCCCCCCCUUGAUGGCAAUGGCGGAUCAGCACGAACACGGGGGGAGAGGAUCAGGGCGGAGAGCGGGGCGGUUGGUGGUGGAUUUCUCCUUGGCUGUCUGUGGGGAAGUGCGGUGUGAAGGAGAGAGAGCGACAUGGCCAAGGUGAGGUGGGUGUCAUCCGGUUUUCAAGGCGAGGGCUCCAGCGAGAAAUGUCCCGUACAGCGAGAAACCGAGCAGGAAGUGGAGGGUCCGGCAGGAAAAGUGAAGGGUGCUUCGUGGGAUGGGGUUUUUGUGUUGGGACCGCGUUUGGGGAUAACAUGGGAUAGUCUGGACAGUCACAUUUCUCCCCCACACAUGGGUUAGAUUUGGAUGAGCCUGAACUGUCGAUGUUGAAUUUUGGGGAGGCCGCUGGGUGCCCGUGUGAUGUCCGAACACACCCGGACGUAUGAGGGAGAAAUGAGUUUCGACCUCGUAGACGACCUUAAUCAUUUGUAUGCCCAUAGCAACGCACGGGCGUUCUACUAAUGAAUAUCUUAAGCGCAUCAUCUAGAUAGUGAUAGUUUUGUAAUAGAUGUUUAGUUGGAACAUCACUCAGUUUGUUAUAUGGACAUGUCGUUAAUCUUUUAUUUUUGUCAAUUUACAUUGCAAAAAUUGGCUUCAAUUAUUCAAUAAUUGUGUUUGUGUUA